CACGCUAACAGGUCACAGAGAGGAAGGAUGCUAUACCGGUCCUUAGAGUGGCCGGGCUAAGCACACUAAGAAUAGUCAGUAGACAAGCCAAGUAAAGGGAGCCAGAAAACGGGAGAACGAGAAACAAGCCGAGGUCAAAGGAGUGUAGAAUACAGGAAAAUCGGAAUAACGAGCCAAAUAAUCAGUAACCGGAGAGAAGCACGAGCAAACUGCAAUACAGGAUCACAAGACCACAACAGGGCACUGAGAGACAGGAAAGGUAAGUAUAAAUAUCCUUUGCCUAAUUCUGAUUGGAUAACUUCCAAUCAGAAUUAACAAUCACACGUGGGAGAUAUCUACGCCUCGACUGUGAUUGUGGUACUGUUGCUUUAAC
Molecule: non-coding RNA, 373 nt
Organism: Pelobates cultripes (western spadefoot toad)
Lineage: Eukaryota; Metazoa; Chordata; Amphibia; Anura; Pelobatidae
Source: the annotation of a GenBank genome assembly